RNAcentral lists this ribosomal RNA (357 nucleotides) under uncultured bacterium. RNAcentral's name for it is "bacterial SSU rRNA". It matches the Rfam family "Bacterial small subunit ribosomal RNA", at positions 335 to 683 of the family's 1533-position model. The record is from RNAcentral.
ACUCCUACGGGAGGCAGCAGUGGGGAAUCUUGCGCAAUGGGCGGAAGCCUGACGCAGCAACGCCGCGUGUGGGAAGACGGCCUUCGGGUUGUAAACCACUUUCAGGGGGGACGAAGCCACUCAGGUUAAUAGCCGAGAGGGUGACGGUACCCCAGCAAGAAGCCAGGCCGUAUACUACGUGCCAGCAGCCGCGGUAAUACGUAGGGGGCGAGCGUUGUCCGGAAUCAUUGGGCGUAAAGCGCGUGUAGGCGGCUUGGUCAGUUUGGUGUGAAAUCCCGGGGCUCAACCCCGGAACUGCACUGAAUACUGCCUCGCUAGAGUCCGGGAGAGGAGUUGGGAAUUCCCAGUGUAGCGGUG